RNAcentral lists this ribosomal RNA (253 nucleotides) under uncultured bacterium. RNAcentral's name for it is "partial 16S ribosomal RNA". It matches the Rfam family "Bacterial small subunit ribosomal RNA", at positions 524 to 776 of the family's 1533-position model. The record is from RNAcentral.
GACGGAGGAUGCAAGCGUUAUCCGGAAUGAUUGGGCGUAAAGCGUCCGCAGGUGGCAGUUCAAGUCUGCUGUCAAAGACCGGGGCUUAACUUCGGAAAGGCAGUGGAAACUGAACAGCUAGAGUAUGGUAGGGGCAGAGGGAAUUCCUGGUGUAGCGGUGAAAUGCGUAGAGAUCAGGAAGAACAUCGGUGGCGAAGGCGCUCUGCUGGACCAUAACUGACACUCAGGGACGAAAGCGUGGGGAGCGAACAGG